RNAcentral lists this ribosomal RNA (608 nucleotides) under uncultured bacterium. RNAcentral describes it as "bacterial SSU rRNA". The stretch from base 1 to 518 matches the Rfam family "Bacterial small subunit ribosomal RNA", at positions 338 to 873 of the family's 1533-position model. The record is from RNAcentral.
CCUACGGGAGGCAGCAGUGGGGAAUAUUGGACAAUGGGCGAAAGCCUGAUCCAGCAAUGCCGCGUGAGUGAUGAAGGCCUUAGGGUUGUAAAGCUCUUUUACUAGGGAUGAUAAUGACAGUACCUAGAGAAUAAGCCCCGGCUAACUCCGUGCCAGCAGCCGCGGUAAUACGGAGGGGGCUAGCGUUGUUCGGAAUUACUGGGCGUAAAGAGUACGUAGGCGGUUAUUCAAGUCAGAGGUGAAAGCCUGGAGCUCAACUCCAGAACUGCCUUUGAAACUAGAUAGCUAGAAUCAUGGAGAGGUUAGUGGAAUUCCGAGUGUAGAGGUGAAAUUCGUAGAUAUUCGGAAGAACACCAGUGGCGAAGGCGACUAACUGGACAUGUAUUGACGCUGAGGUACGAAAGCGUGGGGAGCAAACAGGAUUAGAUACCCUGGUAGUCCACGCCGUAAACGAUGAUAACUAGCUGUUCGGGCCCUCAGAGCUUGAGUGGCGCNGCUACGACAUUAAGUUAUCCGUCCGUCGGGUAGGUACGGUCGCGAGAAUUAAACUAACAAUAGAAGUUAGACGGCGUGAGACGUGCCGACGGACGACGACGAGGGAGGUUAGG